RNAcentral lists this long non-coding RNA (259 nucleotides) under Lathyrus oleraceus (garden pea). Its description in RNAcentral is "Pisum sativum (pea) long non-coding RNA (PSAT_LNC016204)". Lineage: Eukaryota; Viridiplantae; Streptophyta; Magnoliopsida; Fabales; Fabaceae. The record is from RNAcentral.
AAAAUUCCUCCUUUCUUCACCCAAUGAGCCUCAAUCUCAGACUUGUGAAGGACUACUCUACACAAGUCGAACAUGACUAUACCAUCCUCGUAUCUUAAUUACACUCAAGUUCGGGUUAGAACUUAUCUCACCACUCAGAGAUCACCAAGCACAACAAGCAGAUCAUAUCAUACAAACAAAUAUACAAGCAUUAACUAUACAAAUAUAUACACAUAAAAGAGUAGGCUAAACCCACUGAGGACUAAUCCCCAGCAGAGUC